This 1372-nucleotide ribosomal RNA is filed under the name uncultured bacterium. RNAcentral's name for it is "bacterial SSU rRNA". It matches the Rfam family "Bacterial small subunit ribosomal RNA", at positions 28 to 1381 of the family's 1533-position model. The record is from RNAcentral.
GAUGAACGCUGGCGGCGUGCCUAAUACAUGCAAGUCGAGCGAACGGACGAGAAGCUUGCUUCUCUGAUGUUAGCGGCGGACGGGUGAGUAACACGUGGAUAACCUACCUAUAAGACUGGGAUAACUUCGGGAAACCGGAGCUAAUACCGGAUAAUAUUUUGAACCGCAUGGUUCAAAAGUGAAAGACGGUCUUGCUGUCACUUAUAGAUGGAUCCGCGCUGCAUUAGCUAGUUGGUAAGGUAACGGCUUACCAAGGCAACGAUGCAUAGCCGACCUGAGAGGGUGAUCGGCCACACUGGAACUGAGACACGGUCCAGACUCCUACGGGAGGCAGCAGUAGGGAAUCUUCCGCAAUGGGCGAAAGCCUGACGGAGCAACGCCGCGUGAGUGAUGAAGGUCUUCGGAUCGUAAAACUCUGUUAUUAGGGAAGAACAUAUGUGUAAGUAACUGUGCACAUCUUGACGGUACCUAAUCAGAAAGCCACGGCUAACUACGUGCCAGCAGCCGCGGUAAUACGUAGGUGGCAAGCGUUAUCCGGAAUUAUUGGGCGUAAAGCGCGCGUAGGCGGUUUUUUAAGUCUGAUGUGAAAGCCCACGGCUCAACCGUGGAGGGUCAUUGGAAACUGGAAAACUUGAGUGCAGAAGAGGAAAGUGGAAUUCCAUGUGUAGCGGUGAAAUGCGCAGAGAUAUGGAGGAACACCAGUGGCGAAGGCGACUUUCUGGUCUGUAACUGACGCUGAUGUGCGAAAGCGUGGGGAUCAAACAGGAUUAGAUACCCUGGUAGUCCACGCCGUAAACGAUGAGUGCUAAGUGUUAGGGGGUUUCCGCCCCUUAGUGCCGCAGCUAACGCAUUAAGCACUCCGCCUGGGGAGUACGACCGCAAGGUUGAAACUCAAAGGAAUUGACGGGGACCCGCACGAGCGGUGGAGCAUGUGGUUUAAUUCGAAGCAACGCGGAGAACCUUACCAAAUCUUGACAUCCUUUGACAACUCUAGAGAUAGAGCCUUCCCCUUCGGGGGACAAAGUGACAGGUGGUGCAUGGUUGUCGUCAGCUCGUGUCGUGAGAUGUUGGGUUAAGUCCCGCAACGAGCGCAACCCUUAAGCUUAGUUGCCAUCAUUAAGUUGGGCACUCUAAGUUGACUGCCGGUGACAAACCGGAGGAAGGUGGGGAUGACGUCAAAUCAUCAUGCCCCUUAUGAUUUGGGCUACACACGUGCUACAAUGGACAAUACAAAGGGCAGCGAAACCGCGAGGCCAAGCAAAUCCCAUAAAGUUGUUCUCAGUUCGGAUUGUAGUCUGCAACUCGACUACAUGAAGCUGGAAUCGCUAGUAAUCGUAGAUCAGCAUGCUACGGUGAAUACGUUCCCGGGUCU